Molecule: unclassified non-coding RNA, 339 nt
Filed under: soil metagenome
Description: partial contains 5.8S ribosomal RNA, internal transcribed spacer 2, and large subunit ribosomal RNA
Rfam family: 5.8S ribosomal RNA (bases 1-121)
Source: RNAcentral
GUUGAAGAACGCAGCGAAAUGCGAUAAGUAAUGCGAAUUGCAGAAUUCCAGUGAAUCAUCGAAUCUUUGAACGCACAUUGCGCCCGCCAGUAUUCUGGCGGGCAUGCCUGUCUGAGCGUCAUUUCAACCCUCAAGCAACUUCUGCUUGGUGUUGGGGAUCGGCCGUCAAACGCCGCCCCCGAAAUCUAUUGGCGAUCUCGCUGUAGCUUCCUAUGCGUAGUAGUAACAUCUCGCAUCUGGAGAGCGGCGCGGUCAUGCCGUAAAACACCCAACUUCUCAGGUUGACCUCAGAUCAGGUAGGAAUACCCGCUGAACUUAAGCAUAUCAAUAAGCGGAGGA